This 157-nucleotide ribosomal RNA is filed under the name uncultured bacterium. RNAcentral's name for it is "partial 16S ribosomal RNA". It matches the Rfam family "Bacterial small subunit ribosomal RNA", at positions 196 to 353 of the family's 1533-position model. The record is from RNAcentral.
CGUGUGAAAAACUCCGGUGGUAUGAGAUGGACCCGCGUCUGAUUAGCUAGUUGGUGGGGUAACGGCCUACCAAGGCGACGAUCAGUAGCCGGCCUGAGAGGGUGAACGGCCACAUUGGGACUGAGACACGGCCCAAACUCCUACGGGAGGCAGCAUG